Non-coding RNA from Camellia sinensis, 1507 nucleotides. The record is from RefSeq and is a predicted model, not a curated record. NCBI's taxonomy places the organism in Eukaryota, Viridiplantae, Streptophyta, Magnoliopsida, Ericales, Theaceae.
GACUCAAAUAUUCAAAAUGUCCCAAUCAUGGAAAUUGGCCCAUCUCUCUCUCUCUCUCUCCCUCUCUCACACGAGUGCGCGACUGUUAGCAGGGCAGACGACGGUGUGGAGUGACGGCGUGCAGCGGCAGACGAUAGCGACAACGUGAGACGGCAUCGAGCAGCGGCAGGCGAUAGCGUCGAGCGACGGCGAGCAUCAAGCAGUGCACAAGUUUCUUGUAUGCCAAGGCCAUGUAUCUGAAUUGUGUUUUUGUUGACCUUGCAGGGCAGACAAAUGUAUGACGGCAUCCUUCGGUUUUCAGGCUGAUGUGAGAGCUCUACAAAAGGUAUUGGCAGCUAGGAACUUGGUUUGAGGAAAUGAAAGAUGUGCUGGAAGUAAUGCAUCAUUUUGGACACAGAUCCAUCAGCAUCAACACAACAAGCAGAUGAGCUGUCCUGGUAAGGGUUGUGUCUUCACAUAUGAUGUUGUUGGCUCCCAUGAGAGGGUUGGAUACAGUUCCCAAGGUUCUGGUUCUACACUCAUCAUGCCUUUUGUGGACAACCAACUGAAGUCUCCAAGCCCUCUCUUGUCACCUGCCCAGUGGCUGUGCUGUGGCUCCAAGAUCUUCAUCGCUUGAUUCCUUCACUGAAACAAAAAUUUUAAAAUUCUUGGUUUAAUCACGAUAACAUAGUUUCAUGUUCACGUGAUGGCAGCGCGAUUAUUUGGGUUCCAAGGUCACACAAAUCUCAUGGAAAAACUGUACGUUGGACAUGAGCUUAUCAUCUCAAAGUUCCUCCUCCCCCUAUGCCACCUCAACCUCUUCGAGGAGGCUCACGUCAGAGGUUUCUUCCAACUCCUUGGGGUGUUAAUAUGAUUGUGUGGAGUUUGGAUAAUCUCUCUGUGCUUGCUGCAUCAUGGAUUGCAGAAUAUGUGUUUGGAAUGCUAGUGAUGGUAGCUUGGUACAUUCCUUGACUGGUCAGAGUGGAUCUGUAAGUGGUGUCUAACUUUUUGAAUGAUAUUAUGGUUGAAAGCAUCUUUUUUAAAAUUCUUUACUUAAGGAUAGAAUUGUAUGUUAUUUUCUACCAUCGGGCUCUUUAGUUUAGCCUGCUAGUUAGAUUGAAUGUUAUUUUCGAGACUCAAAUUAAUUUGGAAUUUUUUUCUUAGAGAUGUAUUUUCAUUUAAUCUUUAUCUGAAAUGGCCUGGGGAAGGAAAGGUAACUGGGCUAAGCUUUUAGACCACUGGCUGAGAGCAUAUGGUUAUGACCACGGCAUCAAGGGCUCAAAUUCCUCCUUGGCCAAGUGGCCUAAAAGGGGAGGACUUUUUCUUCUAUGGGUUAAACAAAUCCUGUUCAGGUAGUUUAUGUGAGAAUAGUAUGUGUUAACCAAUCUUUCAAUUUUUUCAGAAGUUGAUUAGGGUAGAUAUUGUUUUUUGAUUCAUUGUCUAUUGAAAAUCUUGAUACUCAAAUUUGGUUGCCCUUGACUAAGUUCAUUUCUUGUAGAAUGUUGUGAACUUGUGAUUGCUUUUGAUA